Molecule: ribosomal RNA, 907 nt
Filed under: Enterobacter kobei
Lineage: Bacteria; Pseudomonadati; Pseudomonadota; Gammaproteobacteria; Enterobacterales; Enterobacteriaceae
Description: partial 23S ribosomal RNA
Rfam family: Bacterial large subunit ribosomal RNA
Source: RNAcentral
GCCCCGGUAAACGGCGGCCGUAACUAUAACGGUCCUAAGGUAGCGAAAUUCCUUGUCGGGUAAGUUCCGACCUGCACGAAUGGCGUAAUGAUGGCCAGGCUGUCUCCACCCGAGACUCAGUGAAAUUGAACUCGCUGUGAAGAUGCAGUGUACCCGCGGCAAGACGGAAAGACCCCGUGAACCUUUACUAUAGCUUGACACUGAACACUGGUCCUUGAUGUGUAGGAUAGGUGGGAGGCUUUGAAGCGUGGACGCCAGUCUGCGUGGAGCCGACCUUGAAAUACCACCCUUUAAUGGCUGGUGUUCUAACGUAGACCCGUAAUCCGGGUUGCGGACAGUGUCUGGUGGGUAGUUUGACUGGGGCGGUCUCCUCCCAAAGAGUAACGGAGGAGCACGAAGGUUAGCUAAUCCUGGUCGGACAUCAGGAGGUUAGUGCAAUGGCAUAAGCUAGCUUGACUGCGAGAGUGACGGCUCGAGCAGGUGCGAAAGCAGGUCAUAGUGAUCCGGUGGUUCUGAAUGGAAGGGCCAUCGCUCAACGGAUAAAAGGUACUCCGGGGAUAACAGGCUGAUACCGCCCAAGAGUUCAUAUCGACGGCGGUGUUUGGCACCUCGAUGUCGGCUCAUCACAUCCUGGGGCUGAAGUAGGUCCCAAGGGUAUGGCUGUUCGCCAUUUAAAGUGGUACGCGAGCUGGGUUUAGAACGUCGUGAGACAGUUCGGUCCCUAUCUGCCGUGGGCGCUGGAGAAUUGAGGGGGGCUGCUCCUAGUACGAGAGGACCGGAGUGGACGCAUCACUGGUGUUCGGGUUGUCAUGCCAAUGGCACUGCCCGGUAGCUAAAUGCGGAAGAGAUAAGUGCUGAAAGCAUCUAAGCACGAAACUUGCCCCGAGAUGAGUUCUCCCUGAGACUU